Molecule: ribosomal RNA, 464 nt
Filed under: Vreelandella stevensii
Lineage: Bacteria; Pseudomonadati; Pseudomonadota; Gammaproteobacteria; Oceanospirillales; Halomonadaceae
Description: partial 16S ribosomal RNA
Rfam family: Bacterial small subunit ribosomal RNA
Source: RNAcentral
CCUACGGGAGGCAGCAGUGGGGAAUAUUGGACAAUGGGCGAAAGCCUGAUCCAGCCAUGCCGCGUGUGUGAAGAAGGCCUUCGGGUUGUAAAGCACUUUCAGUGGGGAAGAAAGCCUUGGGGCUAAUACCCUCGAGGAAGGACAUCACCCACAGAAGAAGCACCGGCUAACUCCGUGCCAGCAGCCGCGGUAAUACGGAGGGUGCGAGCGUUAAUCGGAAUUACUGGGCGUAAAGCGCGCGUAGGCGGUCUGAUAAGCCGGUUGUGAAAGCCCCGGGCUCAACCUGGGAACGGCAUCCGGAACUGUCAGGCUAGAGUGCAGGAGAGGAAGGUAGAAUUCCCGGUGUAGCGGUGAAAUGCGUAGAGAUCGGGAGGAAUACCAGUGGCGAAGGCGGCCUUCUGGACUGACACUGACGCUGAGGUGCGAAAGCGUGGGUAGCAAACAGGAUAGAUACCCCGGUAGUC